CAGUGCCGCGGUAAUACGGAGGGGGCUAGCGUUGUUCGGAAUUACUGGGCGUAAAGCGCACGUAGGCGGCUUUGUAAGUUAGAGGUGAAAGCCCGGAGCUCAACUCCGGAAUUGCCUUUAGGACCGCAGAGCUAGCAGGUGAGAGAGGUGAGUGGAAUUCCGAGUGUAGAGGUGAAAUUCGUAGAUAUUCGGAAGAACACCAGUGGCGAAGGCGGCUCACUGGCUCAUACUGGACGCUGAGGUGCGAAAGCGUGGGGAGCAAACAGGAUUAGAUACCCGCGUAGUCCCUGUCUCUUAUACA
RNAcentral lists this ribosomal RNA (301 nucleotides) under uncultured bacterium. RNAcentral describes it as "partial 16S ribosomal RNA". It matches the Rfam family "Bacterial small subunit ribosomal RNA", at positions 509 to 808 of the family's 1533-position model. The record is from RNAcentral.